GGGAUGUGGCUCAGUGGGAGAGCAUUCGGUUCGCAUCCGAAAGGUCGUGGGUUCAAAUCCCAUCAUCUCC
RNAcentral lists this transfer RNA (70 nucleotides) under bovine gut metagenome. It matches the Rfam family "tRNA". From Rfam's summary of the family: Transfer RNA (tRNA) molecules are approximately 80 nucleotides in length. The record is from RNAcentral.